RNAcentral lists this ribosomal RNA (1171 nucleotides) under Salmonella enterica subsp. enterica. RNAcentral's name for it is "partial 23S ribosomal RNA". It matches the Rfam family "Bacterial large subunit ribosomal RNA", at positions 161 to 1269 of the family's 2925-position model. The record is from RNAcentral. Lineage: Bacteria; Pseudomonadati; Pseudomonadota; Gammaproteobacteria; Enterobacterales; Enterobacteriaceae.
AAUCCAUAGGUUAAUGAGGCGAACCGGGGGAACUGAAACAUCUAAGUACCCCGAGGAAAAGAAAUCAACCGAGAUUCCCCCAGUAGCGGCGAGCGAACGGGGAGGAGCCCAGAGCCUGAAUCAGCAUGUGUGUUAGUGGAAGCGUCUGGAAAGGCGCGCGAUACAGGGUGACAGCCCCGUACACAAAAGCGCAUGUGCUGUGAGCUCGAUGAGUAGGGCGGGACACGUGGUAUCCUGUCUGAAUAUGGGGGGACCAUCCUCCAAGGCUAAAUACUCCUGACUGACCGAUAGUGAACCAGUACCGUGAGGGAAAGGCGAAAAGAACCCCGGCGAGGGGAGUGAAAAAGAACCUGAAACCGUGUACGUACAAGCAGUGGGAGCCCCACCACUAAGCCAGUGGUGAACUCCACAUACGCAUCCUUUGCUGAGGAUACGGUUAACGGAGCGAAAGCGACGUUCAACCGCAAAAGAAGCAGAGGGGGCUUAGUGGUGGGGUGACUGCGUACCUUUUGUAUAAUGGGUCAGCGACUUAUAUUCUGUAGCAAGGUUAACCGUAUAGGGGAGCCGCAGGGAAACCGAGUCUUAACCGGGCGUUAAGUUGCAGGGUAUAGACCCGAAACCCGGUGAUCUAGCCAUGGGCAGGUUGAAGGUUGGGUAACACUAACUGGAGGACCGAACCGACUAAUGUUGAAAAAUUAGCGGAUGACCUGUGGCUGGGGGUGAAAGGCCAAUCAAACCGGGAGAUAGCUGGUUCUCCCCGAAAGCUAUUUAGGUAGCGCCUCGUGAAUUCAUCUCCGGGGGUAGAGCACUGUUUCGGCUAGGGGGCCAUCCCGGCUUACCAACCCGAUGCAAACUGCGAAUACCGGAGAAUGUUAUCACGGGAGACACACGGCGGGUGCUAACGUCCGUCGUGAAGAGGGAAACAACCCAGACCGCCAGCUAAGGUCCCAAAGUCAUGGUUAAGUGGGAAACGAUGUGGGAAGGCCCAGACAGCCAGGAUGUUGGCUUAGAAGCAGCCAUCAUUUAAAGAAAGCGUAAUAGCUCACUGGUCGAGUCGGCCUGCGCGGAAGAUGUAACGGGGCUAAACCAUGCACCGAAGCUGCGGCAGCGACACUCAGGUGUUGUUGGGUAGGGGAGCGUUCUGUAAGCCUGCGAAGGUGGCCUGUGAGGG